This 460-nucleotide ribosomal RNA is filed under the name uncultured bacterium. RNAcentral's name for it is "partial 16S ribosomal RNA". It matches the Rfam family "Bacterial small subunit ribosomal RNA", at positions 338 to 795 of the family's 1533-position model. The record is from RNAcentral.
CCUACGGGAGGCAGCAGUGAGGAAUAUUGGUCAAUGGGCGAGAGCCUGAACCAGCCAAGUCGCGUGAGGGAAGACGGUCCUACGGAUUGUAAACCUCUUUUGUCAGGGAGCAAGGAGCGCCACGAGUGGUGCGGCGAGAGUACCUGAAGAAAAAGCAUCGGCUAACUCCGUGCCAGCAGCCGCGGUAAUACGUAGGGGGCGAGCGUUAUCCGGAUUUACUGGGUGUAAAGGGAGCGUAGACGGCGUCGCAAGUCUGAAGUGAAAGCCCGUGGCUCAACUGCGGAACCGCUUUGGAAACUGCGAGGCUGGAGUGCUGGAGAGGUGAGCGGAAUUCCUGGUGUAGCGGUGAAAUGCGUAGAUAUCAGGAGGAACACCGGUGGCGAAGGCGGCUUACUGGACAGUGACUGACGUUGAGGCUCGAAAGCGUGGGGAGCGAACAGGAUUAGAUACCCCAGUAGUC